UCGGGAAUAUUGGACAAUGGGCGCAAGCCUGAUCCAGCCAUGCCGCGUGAGUGACGAAGGCCUUAGGGUUGUAAAGCUCUUUUGGCGGGGAAAAUAAUGACGGUACCCGCAGAAUAAGCUCCGGCUAACUUCGUGCCAGCAGCCGCGGUAAUACGAAGGGAGCUAGCGUUGUUCGGAAUCACUGGGCGUAAAGCGCACGUAGGUGGGCAGUUAAGUCAGGGGUGAAAGCCCGAGGCUCAACCUCGGAAUUGCCUCUGAUACUGGCUGUCUAGAGUUCGAGAGAGGUGAGUGGAAUUCCUAGUGUAGAGGUGAAAUUCGUAGAUAUUAGGAAGAACACCAGUGGCGAAGGCGGCCAACUGGCUCGAUACUGACGCUGAGGUGCGAAAGCGUGGGGAGCAAACAGGAUUAGAUACCCCAGUAGUCCCUGAGCGGGCUGGCAAGGCGCAU
RNAcentral lists this ribosomal RNA (447 nucleotides) under uncultured bacterium. RNAcentral describes it as "bacterial SSU rRNA". It matches the Rfam family "Bacterial small subunit ribosomal RNA", at positions 355 to 825 of the family's 1533-position model. The record is from RNAcentral.